RNAcentral lists this ribosomal RNA (253 nucleotides) under uncultured bacterium. Its description in RNAcentral is "partial 16S ribosomal RNA". It matches the Rfam family "Bacterial small subunit ribosomal RNA", at positions 524 to 776 of the family's 1533-position model. The record is from RNAcentral.
UACGAAGGACCCGAGCGUUAUCCGGAUUUAUUGGGUUUAAAGGGUGCGUAGGCGGAUUGAUAAGUCAGUGGUGAAAGCCCACCGCUCAACGGUGGAAUUGCCAUUGAUACUGUCAAUCUUGAGUAUGGUUGAGGUGGGCGGAAUGUGUCAUGUAGCGGUGAAAUGCUUAGAUAUGACACAGAACACCAAUUGCGAAGGCAGCUCGCUAAACCAUAACUGACGCUGAGGCACGAAAGCGUGGGGAGCAAACAGG